RNAcentral lists this ribosomal RNA (242 nucleotides) under uncultured bacterium. RNAcentral's name for it is "partial 16S ribosomal RNA". It matches the Rfam family "Bacterial small subunit ribosomal RNA", at positions 118 to 345 of the family's 1533-position model. The record is from RNAcentral.
UAGGUAAUUUUCCCUUGAGCGGGGGACAACGGUCCGAAAGGACCGCUAAUACCGCAUACGUUCCUGGGGGCUUCGGCUUCUGGGAGGAAAGCUAGGUCGCAAGAUCCGGCACUCGAGGAGAAGCCUGCGUAGCAUCAGCUAGUUGGUGAGGUAAUGGCUCACCAAGGCGAAGACGCUUAGCUGGUCUGAGAGGAUGGCCAGCCACAGUUGGGACUGAGACACCGGCCCAGACUCCGUACGGG